RNAcentral lists this ribosomal RNA (253 nucleotides) under uncultured bacterium. RNAcentral's name for it is "partial 16S ribosomal RNA". It matches the Rfam family "Bacterial small subunit ribosomal RNA", at positions 524 to 776 of the family's 1533-position model. The record is from RNAcentral.
UACGUAGGGGGCAAGCGUUGUCCGGAAUCAUUGGGCGUAAAGCGCGUGUAGGCGGCCAGAAAAGUCCGCUGUGAAAACUCGAGGCUCAACUUCGAGCUGUCGGUGGAAACUUUCUGGCUAGAGUCCGGAAGAGGAGAAUGGAAUUCCUGGUGUAGCGGUGAAAUGCGCAGAUAUCAGGAAGAACACCCGUGGCGAAGGCGGUUCUCUGGGACGGUACUGACGCUGAGGAGCGAAAGCGUGGGGAGCAAACAGG